GGGGGUGUACUGGUUUCGACGGGAGCAUUGUGCGUUAAGGAAGCGAGCCGUGGCCCCGAACCACGGAAAAAGCGGGAAAGUUAUAACUGCGAACAACGAGUAUUCGGCUCUGCCGAUGGCGGCCUAAGGCCGUCCGUCGGUCCCUAAGCGCCUACGGCUUAGGGUGUCCGGCGUCAUCGAUGUAGGAAAAUGAUCCGCGUAAGCUUUGCCGCGCGAUCGUAUUUAUGAAGCUACCCGACGCUCGAUCCUGCUUGUGGGAGCCCGCGAAGGGGAAAUCUAAAGCAUAAGCUGCGCUCGGAGAUGCCUUAGCGUUCAGGUUUUCGGACAGGGGUUCGACUCCCCUCACCUCCAC
Molecule: transfer-messenger RNA, 352 nt
Filed under: Clostridia bacterium
Lineage: Bacteria; Bacillati; Bacillota; Clostridia
Rfam family: transfer-messenger RNA
About the family: Bacterial tmRNA, also known as 10Sa RNA or SsrA, is named for its dual tRNA and mRNA-like properties.
Source: RNAcentral